Molecule: ribosomal RNA, 253 nt
Filed under: uncultured bacterium
Lineage: Bacteria
Description: partial 16S ribosomal RNA
Rfam family: Bacterial small subunit ribosomal RNA
Source: RNAcentral
UACAGAGGUCUCAAGCGUUGUUCGGAUUCAUUGGGCGUAAAGGGUGCGUAGGUGGCGGGGUAAGUCUGGUGUGAAAUCUCGGGGCUCAACCCCGAAACUGCACUGGAUACUGCCUCGCUCGAGUACUGGAGAGGAGAUUGGAAUUUACGGUGUAGCAGUGAAAUGCGUAGAUAUCGUAAGGAAGACCAGUGGCGAAGGCGAAUCUCUGGACAGUUACUGACACUGAGGCACGAAGGCCAGGGGAGCAAACGGG